GCUGUCUACCCUGAGACACAAAUCACCUAUAUGCCCGGGUGUCUGGGUUGGCCAAGUAGCUGGCCAGGAUGCGUUGCUGCCUUCAGGCCACACGUGUCUAGAGAAAAGUGCGUGGCCGGAGGCCCCAGGAAUGUCCCGGUCCCCGUCCCCACUUACCUUGCUUUUGUGAAAGUGACUCUGACGACGGUCUGUGAGGCAAUGCCAAGCCUGAUCAAGCAGCACAGCUCUAUGAAGGACGAGUGCCUUUGAAGGAUGUGUGGCUUCCUGUGAGCACCGGCUCUAUCCCUCACCCAUCUAUGCUGAGUUCAAGUGGGUUUUUUUUUUUUUUUGAUAGAAGCAGAGAAAAGUGACUCAUUUCCCAAAACUGAAGGUUAGGAAGGUUUGCAUUCUUCUGUAAGAGGAGAAAAUGGAGAGGAAAGCCAAGUAAGCUUUUUAAUUUUAAAAAUUUGUUGGAGGGGCUGGGGAGGUCGCUCAGUGAUAGAGCUUGCCUCAUGUGCGUGAGAUGAGGCCCCAGGUUUGAUUCCCAGCAUUGGGGGGAAAAAAGUCGGGACGUAGUUUAGUGCUAGAGCUUCCCUAGCAUGCAGGAGGCCCUAGAGUUAAUCCUCACACACCAAUUUAUUUGUUGGCUUUUUGGGGAGGUGGGGUGGGGUUUAACCAGGGUUUGAACCCAGGGGCACUUAAUCAUUGAGCCAUAUCCCCAAGCCAUUUUGAUCUUUUAUUUUUGAGACAGUCUUACUAAGUUGCUGAACUUGCUAUCCUCUUGCCUCAGACUCCAGAGUAUCUGGGAUUACAGGUGUGCCCUCCCCGCUAUUUGUUGACUUUUUUAACGUAAAAGGAUUUUUUGUUCCUUCUAACUGGCUUAUAUGCUGUAGAAUGUUCCUUCUCUUUUGGGUCAUUGGGCUGAUGGUUUUUUCCUCUUCAUGAAUACACAAGGGCAGGUACUCAAGACGUAUGAUAUUCUCUAAACAAGUGGGAUCUGAGCCAGACUUGAGAAGGCCAGGGAAACUUAAGGAAAAGGAUAUUCCAGAAUAGAGAAAAAUUUGUCCAAAUGAGCAUGUCUAUUUGUCCAAAUCUUCCCUGACUUGGAAGAUUUUAGCCAACCACAUUCUUAGAUUCCAUUAUUUGUCUUCAAAGCUGUGUCAGUUGACCUCUCAAGUCCCUUCUGCUUGGAAACUGUGCCGUUUCACUGACUGAUUUAAAUGAAAAUAGCUGAGCCUGAUACGUUGCCCUGCCAUUACUGGACUCCCAAGAAAUAUCUGGAAACCUGAGCAGAACAAGACUCAGUGUAAACCCUGCCCCAGACUAUGAUCCACAGCACCUGUUGCCCAACAUGAGACCACAGCGACCCCUGGUGACCAGGCUUAUUGCAACACCAAAACAUCUGCUCUGAGACUCCUUGGUGGGACCUGUGGAGGCAAUAAGUACCAUGGUGAUUAGCAGACAGACUAUAGAGGAACAUCAUCAUCUGUGGCUGCCUUCCCUCACCCCCCAGGGUGAAAGGAGGAGAAAAACCUAUCAGAAAAUAAUGGUACCACCUUGAACAAAAUAACAGCUUGCUGAGACCACCAACCUUCCACAGUCUGUGGGCUCUUCCAGAUUUCGUCAGCACUGAACCUUCUUCUCGCCCCUGGCGUCAAAAUGUUCCAUUGCCUACCUUCAUUUUAUAAAACCCCCUGUGAGUGACAUCUGGCUCACCCAGAUCAUCCAGGAUGAUCUCCCUUUCUCAAAGUCCUUAAUUUAGUAAUUUCUGCAAAGUUCCUUUUGAAUGUAAAGCAGCACAUUCACAGGUUCUGGAGAUAAGGACAUGGGACAUCUUUAUGGGCUACAAUCCUGUAUCACAUCACAUUGAGCAAUAUCACCACUGACACAGAAAACUCUUACUCAAAAAUUAUUAUAUUCAUACUAAUAGACGCAAGUUCUCCAAGAUUGUAAUUUUUGCUUGAAAGCUCAGUGGGUUUUGUUUUGUUGUUGUUGUUAACCAAGGAUUGAACCCAGGGAUGCUUAACCACUGAACUACAUCCUCGGUAGAGACUGGGUCUCACUGAGUUGCUCAGCACCUCACUUUUUGCUGAAGCUGGCUUUGAACUGGCGAUUCUCCUGUCUCAGCCUCCCAAACCACUGGGAUUACAGGCAUGUGCCAACAUGCCCGGUGAAUGCUAAGUUUUUAUCAUUGGCAAUAGUCAAUGGUUUCACUUAAAAUGACAAGCUUGCUUCAUUGAUUUUCAAUAUCUAUUGAAUAAAAUUGUGGUUAUUUCAUGUAAAAUGAAAUUCCAUAAGAAUUCAAGGUUAGAGGUGACAAGUUUUAGUUUUUACUAAGAUUAUUAAGUAAAAUUGGUACUAGGAGAACAGAGCAACAAAAGAGUUAACAUUUUUGAGUACAAUUUGAAGGCACUGUAUUAAUUUGUCCAAAGAUCUCAGUAGUUUUUGCCUGCAACUGCUUUUGCAUCCUCAGAACAAAUACAAAGAGUGAAGAACAAAGUUAUAGUGUCAGUAUGAAUAUUAAUUUGAUAUCAGAUCCCCUGGAAAGAAUGGCAAAGACCUACCACCUCCUACCCUCACCAGGGGUCUAUGAGCCAUAUCACAUCUUGAAAAUUGCUAUUUAGAAAAAUAAAACCUGCCAGCAGAUGGCAGCAGGUACAGUAGCAUUUCCCAAUUUGCAUUAACCAUUAUUUAGGAAACUGAUUUCAUUAAAAAGGAAUUUAAAUUUUUGCCUUAAAGUUCAAAGAUAGCAUCUCUUUUCAGAAGUUAAACUAGACCAAAUAAAUCCAUGAAACAGGUGCUACUUCAGCUUACAAUUCAAUGACCCAACAACUUUAAGUACUACAGGCCUCUCACUUUGUCACACAUGGAACACUAAAAAUAGUACAUAGCCUUGGUACAGGAACUCUGCCAUUUUACUAAAUAGUGCAAAAUUCAAAAAAGUGUUCUGCCAACUGGAAUUACUCUAAAAUUGAAGCAUUUCCCUUAAAGAAUCAUGUAUAGAGUUUAAUAAAACAUUUUUUCAAUUAAAUGUUAUUCAGUCUUUUUCUUUAUUAAAACAUCAGGGUACUAAGAAAGAGCUUAAAGAAAUUUUAAUGAGACCAUCUACAUAUUGUCAUCAGGCUUCUUGAUUGAUGCCUUUUUUUUUUUAAAUAGAGAAAAGGUUGUAAAGGUUAAAUUUAAGUUUUUCUCUCCUAUUAAGUUUAAGUUUUGCUUUCCUGGAACCCAAAACGUAUGUUAAAAACAAUUACUUAUGUCAAAAUGUACCCUGACCCAACACCCCCUGACAAAACGCAUGAUUAUUCUGUAAUGGUUAUUUUUUAACAAUCCCACUCUCGCACCCUAACUGCCAUAUGAACUUCCCUGUUUAAACACUGUAUAAAAACUCUGCUUAAGCUGUACUCGGGGCUCCAGUUUCUCUCAGGAGAACUCUGAGCCCCAGCAUGCUGGUCCCCUCCCCCCCAAAUAAACCCUUUGCUUUUGUAUGA
This is a non-coding RNA of Ictidomys tridecemlineatus (thirteen-lined ground squirrel), 3467 nucleotides long. Lineage: Eukaryota; Metazoa; Chordata; Mammalia; Rodentia; Sciuridae. The record is from RefSeq and is a predicted model, not a curated record.